This 905-nucleotide long non-coding RNA is filed under the name Cricetulus griseus (Chinese hamster). RNAcentral's name for it is "lncRNA (ENSCGRG00015038689.1)". Lineage: Eukaryota; Metazoa; Chordata; Mammalia; Rodentia; Cricetidae. The record is from RNAcentral.
CAGGGUUUCUCUGUAUAACAGCCCUAGCUGUCCUGGAAUUAGCUGUGUAGAUCAGGCUGGCCUCUUAACUAUCAUAGAUUUGCCUGUCUCUGUCUUCCAAGUGCUGGGAUUGAAGCUAUACACCAUCACCGCCUGGCUCAAUACUGGGAUUAAAUGUGUGUGCCACCACCUGGAUGACCUGAAUUGUUACUCAUUCUGGAUAGGCUGACCAGUUGUCUGGUGGUUACUGCUACUGAUCCAUCCCAACUGCUGGACUUCUCCUUCAUACCCAAGGCCUCCAGGCAGUAUCUAUGUGGAGUCAACACUAAAAGGGAGCAGACACCAUUUCCCAGGCCCUUUAUUCUGGUGACUGAUGGAAGAGUGGGAGGGCAAUAUAUUUACUUGUUUAAUGGGUGGAAAAACAGAUCAAGGUACUGUACCUCUUCAGUUUCUAUUCUGAGUUCUGCAACUAUGCCACUUGGAUUGUAUAUAUUGGGGGAGGUUGAAAAUGUGUCUUUCAUUAGAAGUGUCUUGAGGGGAUAUAGUCAGUGUGAAAUAUGUUGAAGUCCUGAAAUAAUGUGCCCAUCUGAGGAAUUAAAAAAAAAAAGUUUGUAAAAAUACCAUAGAUGGAGCCUGCCUGCUCAUUUCCCCACCACAGAUUUUUUGGACUGGAGGCACAUGUUUAAUAGUAGUUUGUCUCUGAUAUUCACAGUAGCUACCCCUAUGUGAGGAAAGGAUAGAAAACAUUCAAGACUUCAUGUGGGCUUAUGAUCUACAGAUUCCAACCAGUAGCAGUGGCUGACUCCUACACAGAAGACUGGGAACUGCAAACAGACUGGGGUCACCUCAGUGACAUCUGACGCUGUCCAACCAGAAGUCUGACUUUUUUUUCGGGGAAGAGGGGCGGUGAAAAUGUUCUAAGAGAC